Molecule: transfer RNA, 78 nt
Filed under: Medicago truncatula (barrel medic)
Lineage: Eukaryota; Viridiplantae; Streptophyta; Magnoliopsida; Fabales; Fabaceae
Description: tRNA-OTHER
Source: RNAcentral
UCCGUAGUAGCACAAUGGAAAUGUAAAACCAGCUGAAAAGUUGAACUAGAUAUCCGGGUUCGACUCGCGGCUACGGAA